AGAGUUUGAUCCUGGCUCAGGAUGAACGCUGGCGGCGUGCCUAAUACAUGCAAGUCGAGCGAACGGACGAGAAGCUUGCUUCUCUGAUGUUAGCGGCGGACGGGUGAGUAACACGUGGAUAACCUACCUAUAAGACUGGGAUAACUUCGGGAAACCGGAGCUAAUACCGGAUGAUAUUUUGAACCGCAUGGUUCAAAAGUGAAAGACGGUCUUGCUGUCACUUAUAGAUGGAUCCGCGCUGCAUUAGCUAGUUGGUAAGGUAACGGCUUACCAAGGCAACGAUGCAUAGCCGACCUGAGAGGGUGAUCGGCCACACUGGAACUGAGACACGGUCCAGACUCCUACGGGAGGCAGCAGUAGGGAAUCUUCCGCAAUGGGCGAAAGCCUGACGGAGCAACGCCGCGUGAGUGAUGAAGGUCUUCGGAUCGUAAAACUCUGUUAUUAGGGAAGAACAUAUGUGUAAGUAACUGUGCACAUCUUGACGGUACCUAAUCAGAAAGCCACGGCUAACUACGUGCCAGCAGCCGCGGUAAUACGUAGGUGGCAAGCGUUAUCCGGAAUUAUUGGGCGUAAAGCGCGCGUAGGCGGUUUUUUAAGUCUGAUGUGAAAGCCCACGGCUCAACCGUGGAGGGUCAUUGGAAACUGGAAAACUUGAGUGCAGAAGAGGAAAGUGGAAUUCCAUGUGUAGCGGUGAAAUGCGCAGAGAUAUGGAGGAACACCAGUGGCGAAGGCGACUUUCUGGUCUGUAACUGACGCUGAUGUGCGAAAGCGUGGGGAUCAAACAGGAUUAGAUACCCUGGUAGUCCACGCCGUAAACGAUGAGUGCUAAGUGUUAGGGGGUUUCCGCCCCUUAGUGCUGCAGCUAACGCAUUAAGCACUCCGCCUGGGGAGUACGACCGCAAGGUUGAAACUCAAAGGAAUUGACGGGGACCCGCACAAGCGGUGGAGCAUGUGGUUUAAUUCGAAGCAACGCGAAGAACCUUACCAAAUCUUGACAUCCUUUGACAACUCUAGAGAUAGAGCCUUCCCCUUCGGGGGACAAAGUGACAGGUGGUGCAUGGUUGUCGUCAGCUCGUGUCGUGAGAUGUUGGGUUAAGUCCCGCAACGAGCGCAACCCUUAAGCUUAGUUGCCAUCAUUAAGUUGGGCACUCUAAGUUGACUGCCGGUGACAAACCGGAGGAAGGUGGGGAUGACGUCAAAUCAUCAUGCCCCUUAUGAUUUGGGCUACACACGUGCUACAAUGGACAAUACAAAGGGCAGCGAAACCG
This 1268-nucleotide ribosomal RNA is filed under the name Staphylococcus aureus WMCA6126. RNAcentral's name for it is "bacterial SSU rRNA". It matches the Rfam family "Bacterial small subunit ribosomal RNA", at positions 8 to 1257 of the family's 1533-position model. The record is from RNAcentral. Lineage: Bacteria; Bacillati; Bacillota; Bacilli; Caryophanales; Staphylococcaceae.